CCUANGGGUGGCAGCAGUGGGGAAUAUUGCGCAAUGGGGGAAACCCUGACGCAGCAACGCCGCGUGAGUGACGAAGGCCUUCGGGUCGUAAAGCUCUGUCGGAGGGGAAGAAACUACAGGGUGCUAAUAUCACUUUGUAUUGACGGUACCCUCAAAGGAAGCACCGGCUAACUCCGUGCCAGCAGCCGCGGUAAUACGGAGGGUGCAAGCGUUGUUCGGAAUUACUGGGCGUAAAGCGCGUGUAGGCGGCCUAUUAUGUCAGGUGUGAAAGCCCUCGGCCUAACCGAGGAAGUGCGCCUGAAACUGAGAGGCUUGAGUACGAGAGAGGAGGACGGAAUUCCCAGUGUAGAGGUGAAAUUCGUAGAUAUUGGGAGGAACACCGGUGGCGAAAGCGGUUCUCUGGAUCGAUACUGGCGCUAAGACGCGAAAGCGUGGGGAGCAAACAGGAUUAGAUACCCGANUANUC
This 466-nucleotide ribosomal RNA is filed under the name uncultured bacterium. Its description in RNAcentral is "bacterial SSU rRNA". It matches the Rfam family "Bacterial small subunit ribosomal RNA", at positions 338 to 795 of the family's 1533-position model. The record is from RNAcentral.